AAGCAACAGUAGUGCAUUGCUUUUCGUUUAUGCUGAGUUUCGCACUCUAACUUCCCCAAAACAUGCUAAUUGUGAUUUGUGCAGAGUAAAAUUAUUUACAUUUAUAGAAGAAGACAAUGAGAUUCAGACGGAUUCUGUCUUGCCCAAGAAUACAGACAGAGCUGAUCAUGAGGCCAACGGAAGCCAUGGAGAGCGUUUUGAAGUAUGGGAAUUGCUGCAGGUGGCAUCUAAAAGGAGAUUCAUUGAGGAUCAAGGCAGAGGUCCCCAGAGGACAAACGGUAACCAGCUGGGCUUUGAUAGGAAUGAUCUGAAUGGAGACAGAAAACAGUGGAAACUAACACUCCUCACCCAGCCCUGUUUCUAUGAAGUGUUUGGUUCCUUCCUUGACUCUUGAGUGAUGAUGAUAUUCAGGCGAGGCCUUGACAUUAUGGGGCCAAGUCCUUGAGACUUUGCAUCUCUCUUGUGCGCAGUGCAGAGCCUGUGUGUAAUGGUCACUGGAAAUGUGUUUUAAGCCUGGAAGUGAGAGGAUUCA
Non-coding RNA from Macaca mulatta (Rhesus monkey), 532 nucleotides. The record is from RefSeq and is a predicted model, not a curated record. Lineage: Eukaryota; Metazoa; Chordata; Mammalia; Primates; Cercopithecidae.